Ictidomys tridecemlineatus (thirteen-lined ground squirrel) is the source of this 71-nucleotide non-coding RNA. The record is from Rfam. Lineage: Eukaryota; Metazoa; Chordata; Mammalia; Rodentia; Sciuridae.
GGGGUUGUGGCUCAGUGGAAGAGCACUCGCCUAGCACGUGUGAGGCACUGAGCUCGAUCCUCAGCAUCCCA